This 768-nucleotide long non-coding RNA is filed under the name Salmo salar (Atlantic salmon). Its description in RNAcentral is "lncRNA (ENSSSAG00000112625.1)". Lineage: Eukaryota; Metazoa; Chordata; Actinopteri; Salmoniformes; Salmonidae. The record is from RNAcentral.
GAACAGGCGGUGGCUCGGGUGGUUGCUGUCCUUGAUGAUCUUUUUGGCCUUCCUGUGACAUCGGGUGGUGUAGAUGUCCUGGAGGGCACCGGUUUUGACUAGCAGAAGUUGCUUUUCUUAGCAGGUUACGAGAAUUAACGCAGCAGGUUAGGAUAAUUAGGUAAAGAUUAGCUAAAAUGCUAACAAUGUCCUCGACGCGACUCGAACCUAUCUACAACCAGGCCUGCCUUGAGAACAGACUUGAUUUACACUAAUGCGAUGCUCUGCGUCAAAUGGUCUGUGAGGGAAGACUCUUGAGAACAUAAGCUUUCUGUUCUACUCGAGCUAUUUUAUUUUGUAUUUUCAUGGACAAGUCUAAAUAUUUUUGAGCAGCUGCUAGCUGGAGGACAUGAAAUACCAUUUGACGCCAAUACAGUGCCGGGAAUUGCUUCAGUCCUUCAACCAAAGAGAAAAUUAAGAAUGGAUAUGAUCUGUAACAAUGGAUAGGACACGUGUCCACCUCCAAGCAUCAGUGUCCUCCAGGAACAGUGGCCUUUCCUUUUCACCAAGUUAUGGCUCUGCGACCACUUCAAUACUUGUGAUUGACAGUCACCUGACUCAAGCUCUCCUGAACAAGGGUAAGAGAAUUGUAAACUUUUUUAAAAGCCAAAAGACCAAGUUGAGGAGAGAGAUCCAGUGCCUGCUAAAUGAAACCGACAGUUACAUCAAAGGCAAUGACGAUCUAACAGCCACUGCUGCCAUUCUUUUGUUGAUGACCCAGAGGACGAC